CACACCAUGGGAGUCGUUUGCUCCAGAAGUGCCUGAGCCAACCCAGUCGCAAGACUGAGAGGCAGGGUCCCAAGGAGUGAACGGUAACUGGGGUG
RNAcentral lists this ribosomal RNA (95 nucleotides) under uncultured bacterium. Its description in RNAcentral is "partial 16S ribosomal RNA". The record is from RNAcentral.